GACGAACGCUGGCGGCGUGCUUAACACAUGCAAGUCGAACGGAAAGGCCCUGCUUUUGUGGGGUGCUCGAGUGGCGAACGGGUGAGUAACACGUGAGUGACCUGCCCUUGACUUUGGGAUAACUUCAGGAAACUGGGGCUAAUACCGGAUAGGAGCUCCUGCUGCAUGGUGGGGGUUGGAAAGUUUCGGCGGUUGGGGAUGGACUCGCGGCUUAUCAGCUUGUUGGUGGGGUAGUGGCUUACCAAGGCUUUGACGGGUAGCCGGCCUGAGAGGGUGACCGGCCACAUUGGGACUGGGAUACGGCCCAGACUCCUACGGGAGGCAGCAGUGGGGAAUAUUGCACAAUGGGCGGAAGCCUGAUGCAGCAACGCCGCGUGCGGGAUGACGGCCUUCGGGUUGUAAACCGCUUUCGCCUGUGACGAAGCGUGAGUGACGGUAAUGGGUAAAGAAGCACCGGCUAACUACGUG
RNAcentral lists this ribosomal RNA (468 nucleotides) under uncultured bacterium. Its description in RNAcentral is "partial 16S ribosomal RNA". It matches the Rfam family "Bacterial small subunit ribosomal RNA", at positions 28 to 507 of the family's 1533-position model. The record is from RNAcentral.